Long non-coding RNA from Esox lucius (northern pike), 1518 nucleotides. RefSeq lists it as uncharacterized. Lineage: Eukaryota; Metazoa; Chordata; Actinopteri; Esociformes; Esocidae. The transcript has 3 exons. The record is from RefSeq and is a predicted model, not a curated record.
UCACAACAUCCAAACAAGUGAAGAACACUCUAGGAGGUAGGCAUAUCAUUAUCCAAGUCUACCAUGCAGAUAUGGCACUCUCUGCUACCUACCCCAGGUAAACUUAGGUUAAAAAUAAUAUCUAACCAAAAAAAGGCAUUAGUUUCAUAACUGGUUCAUAACUGUUCUCUCUGCUUACCCCUCCCGGAGCCUUCCUUCUCCCCUUCAUAACCACACUGAUGGGGCUUGGUUUCUUUUAGCUGCACCCUGUUGGGGCUGACUGGGCGAGCUGUGUUUUCAGUCCUCUCCAGGCAUCACGCAGCGCUUCUAAGGAGACACCUAUUUCGCAUCAACGGAAUGCCCCUCCCUCUCCUGCCCCAUCUCAACAUUUCUAAAGAUUGAUUGAAAUGACAUUCAUCAGAGUGAGAGUGUGGUGAGGGAGAGAGAGAACACAACACGGUUACUGUAAAAGGUUACCAGCUCCACAGAUCCAUGGCAACCAUCAGUCAUGGCCAGAGCAUGGAGAAAAGAAAGAACACAUACACAGGAUUGUAACCCAGCAUGGGCAAUAUCAAGGCUACAAGUUUAUCUGCAGAGACACUGAUGUUCCUGUGUCCACUGUACACAAUGUUAUCAAUAAAAGAAAUUAGAUGGAAGAUCGCAGCGAAGGAAUUAUCAGAUGGUGGAGAAAGCACCUCCAUCAACUGCUACAUAGAUUUAAGCUGAUCUUCAUUCACAACACACACAAGUUUCUAUUGGCACCACCCGUUGCCAACUCACUGAAAGAGGGUUGUGUGGUAGGAGACCCAGGAAGACCUCAACUCUGAGAGGAAGACAUAAGAAUGUUUGACUGCAAUUUGCCAAAACUCACCUGAGCAUGCCACAAUCCUGGGACAAUCUCCUUUGGACAGAUGAGACCAAAUCCUAACAUUUUGGCAAAGCACACCAUCUUAACAUUUAUAGAAAACAAAAUGAAGCCUUCAAAGAAAUGAAUACCUUCCCCGCAGUCAAACAUGGAGGAGGUUCAGUGAUUCUUGGGAUAGCUCUUUGGCACUGGGUGUUGAGAACGUGUGCAUGGUAUGAUGAAAACAGGAGAAAAACGAGGCAUUUUGAAGAGCAAUGUCAAACCCUCUGUCAGAAAGCUGGGUCUCCCUUAAAUGUCAUAGGUGUUCCAGUAGGGCAGUGACCCCCCCAAAUACUUAAAAAAGCACCCAAAAAUGAAGACAAAAUGCUGAACUGGUCUGAAGUGGCCAUCAAUGAGUCCACAUCUAAAUCAUAUUGAACAAUUUGGGAGAGAUCUGGAAACAGCAGUUGGGAGGCACCCUUCGAAUCUGGGACAACUGGAACUAUUUGAAAAACUGCCAAUACAGAGGUGCAGGACGAUCAUCCAUGGACAUAGAAAGCACUUGAUAGAAGGUUUUUUGCCAAAUAAUGUGCUACUGAUUCAUCUGUCUGUGUUGUCAAUAAUUUUGUCUAUGCAAUUUAUUUUCAUCUUCUGAUUUCAACAUAUAAAUAAGUUCUCUAUCAAAAACAAAGGUU